RNAcentral lists this ribosomal RNA (253 nucleotides) under uncultured bacterium. RNAcentral describes it as "partial 16S ribosomal RNA". It matches the Rfam family "Bacterial small subunit ribosomal RNA", at positions 524 to 776 of the family's 1533-position model. The record is from RNAcentral.
UACGUAGGGGGCAAGCGUUGUCCGGAUUUAUUGGGCGUAAAGAGCGUGUAGGCGGUUAGGUAGGUCCGUUGUGAAAACUCGAGGCUCAACCUCGAGACGCCGAUGGAAACCAUCUAACUAGAGUCCGGAAGAGGAGAGUGGAAUUCCUGGUGUAGCGGUGAAAUGCGCAGACAUCAGGAAGAACACACGUGGCUAAGGCGGCUCUCUAGUACGGUACUGACGCUGAGACGCGAAAGCGUGGGGAGCGAACAGG